UUUGAAUUUUGUAAGUGCUUUAAUAAUUUAUAUGAUUAUGUUGCAUAUUCUUUAGAUCAGUUUUAGUUUAGUAGUACUUGAAUCGUUAAGGAUUCGAGUUGUCACAAUUUUAGUUUGUUUUUAUUUGAUUUUCAAGUGCAUUGAAUGAAUUCGACGAGCAUGGUGUUCUUUUUAUUAUGCAUCUCACAACAUCUCCAUUAACCUUUCAGGGAAAAAUCCUUAUAGAUGGAAUAGGAUUAUGUUGACGUCAAUACAUGUAAAUGAAGUUUCAGAAAGUAAGAAAUUUCAUCCUACUGGGUGGAUAGAUAAGAGGGAUGGGUGGAUUAUUGUGGUUAGACGUCUGAGCUGAUAUUUAAAACUUGAUUUGGAAUUUAUCUAACUUUAACAGAUUCUAUCUCUUGCACUUACCUUUAACAAUUCUCACCAUUAGUUUUUGAUAUUGGAAAUGUUAAUUUGCAUCUCUUAUAGAAAAGAGGAUCAGCAUCCUGUCUUCAACUUCCGCUUGAAUUCAUAGGGAUAGGAAGUGUAGCUAAUUGAGACUAGUGAGAGCCUUUUUUUCCUUUUCAUCUCAGCCUUUGGUUCAUUCCAGUCUUCAUCUUGAUUGAGGUAAUUUAUUUAUUUUUUGAUAAUCGUGAGUGUCCAGGCUAACUUACUCGAAUCUCAACUCAUCCCACAGGACCCUGAAAUUUACAAUUGGGUACUCACCUCAGUGGUCCUAAGGGGACUUGAACUGGUGAUCAUUGGGGGAGCAAAUUCAAGAUCUGACCACUGAACUGCCCGUCAGGUAUAAUUGACUGCGGUAUUUAUUAAAAAUCAUGUUAGUUGUACCUAAAGUUGUAAAUUGUUUGUUCAAGGAUACACCUAGAAUUAGUUUAGUAAUGCUUAGGUGACUAAGUCUAUUUUGUAUGAAUUUUAUUAAUAGAUGACUCUGUCUAUUUUGUAUGUUUUAAAAAAUACGUAAUGAAAUUUUAUUCUCAAUUCCAUGCACUCAAAAAAAGUAUUUAGUUAUGUUGGAUAAUUUGCAUAUUUUAUUAUAAAAUUAUAAAAAAAAUCAUUAAUUAUGUUGGUUAAUUGCUAUAAAAAUACAAAAAAAAUGCAAAUUAAUUGAAAAAUUUAUAAAAACAAAUGACAACGUUUGAAAAAUUUUGCAAAAACUAAGGAUAAAAGCAAAGACAAAGAUCAAAAAAAUAUUGCAAGAAGAUUAACACAGAAAUAUAGACAACACUCGAAAAUGUUGCAAAUAAGUUAAAGAUGACGUUAAAAAAAAAUUGCAAAAAAGAAUAACGACAACAUUCAUAUUUUGCAGAAAAAAUUGACAUGACUCAUUUUGUGACAAAAAAUGUCUCCAGGAGAGUGCUGAGGAAGUAUAGAAGUCGUAGCUCUGAUCUUGAUGUCAAAGAAGAAAACAAGAGUCCUACCUCACUAGCUUUGAGGUAAAUGCAUUGUUAAAUUUUUUAACAUAUUUUAUAUAGUCUAGGUUACUUAACGUUCGAUUGAACUAGGAAUGACAAAUUGGCUCGCGGGCUCAAGCCGCCCGUGGCCUGGCCGAUAAAAAGGUUGAGCAAGCCUGGCUCAAAAUUUAGAAAAAAAAAAAAUUAAAACAAUUGGCUGUUGCCUUCAUAAGAAAGAAAAAAAUCAAGCUGGAUCGGUAAGGCCCGAGCCAAAGCUCCAGUCGGGCGUCAAUUUUUUGGCCAAACUUUUGCUCAGCUAGCACGAGCCAAAAAAAGCUGCUCGGGUCGUUGACACCCCUAGAUUGAACCCAUAUUCUGUAUUCCAUAUAUGUAUGAAAUUUUGGGUUACAUUUUACAACAAGUUGCUGUUGGUGUUAAAAUCGGUCUGAAUUUUUGAAUUACUUUGCUUGUACAUUGUUAAUUCGGUACUAUGAAUUUUUAAUGUGGUACAUUUUUUAAAUUUUGUACAAUAUGAUGCUUGAAGUUUUUUACAUAAUAUUUGACAUAUUACAUCGUAUAAAACAUUUAAUUUUUGCAUCAUAUAUAUGUAACAUGUGUGACAUCUAUCCCAUUGUUUAUGAAAUAGGUAAUGCUAAUUUUAUGAUUUUUUGCAAUGGUCCUUUGUACAUGAUAUUAACAUACAUUGUUACAUUUGAUCAUUUUGUACAGGAUUGUUCAUUAGUUAUGAAAUUUUUGUUAUAACUAUUAUGUGAACUGUUAAGUCGAAGGAUCAUUAAGUCUCAAAAAUGGAUCGUUUUGCAGUAAAAAAUAGAUUUGCAGAAAAUUAAAAAAAUCUAACACGAAGAUAUGUUUCACCCUAAAAAGGGCCUAGAUGUUCGAUCUUGCGACCUAGUCACCCGUUGAGCAUCACCAAAAGGUGAUAAAGCUCAAGAUCCACUAAGUAUCAACCAAGAACAGUAUAACAUGUACGAAGAAACCAAAGGUUUCUUCGAAUAUUCUUUCGCCUCUAUUCAAAACUGUAAUCCAACUCACUCUCAAUCACUAACAGACUAUAAAACACAAUCAGAAACCAUCACUAAGAUUACAGAUUGAGAAAUCACCAAGAACAUAUCGAAUUAUAGUAAACCAAGAACCCUAAUCUAUCACUCAGAGAAAAUGAGAGAGAGACGAAAGGUUGAAAGAGACUUCAAAUAAUCUAGAAUCAGGGCCAAAACCAAGUAAGUAUCUGAUUAGUCAAUCAUCCAAGGGUGAGAGUGAAGCCACGUGUACUGCUGAACCUCAACCAUUUAAGAGGCAAAGGCGUGUUUCUUUAAAACGCGAUUUACAACCCGAACUUAAUUCCAACAGACCAAGCCCACAAGUCUCAAUUUGGGCCAGCAAGAAAUGGUGAGGCAACCCAACUAAUAUACCAAUCUCCACCUUGCUGAAAUAUUUCUUGGUCUUUACUAGUGAAUCUAGAGCUAUAGCAACUGUUAGCUCAUUUGCUCUAAAUACGUGCAAAAAUAAAAUAAACACAUUAGUUCAAAUCUUUCCAAUGCUAAACACUUGAAGUUCUGAUUUUUACUAUCUCAAGUAAUAUUCAGAAUCUUCAAGCAAUUUUGAAAUUUACUCGAAGGUAAUACCUUAGUUCCAAAAUCUGAAGGGUUAAAUUCUGUAGGAAUUUUGACUAGACUUAUCAAACCUUUUUCUGCCAUAUUUCUCACAAAGUGAAAUUUUAUAUCUAUAUGUUUAGUUUUGUCAUGGUAGACAUGAUUUUUACUCAAAUAUAUGGCACUUUGGUUAUCUGUAUAAAUCCUAACAAUAUUAUUUUCAAAAACCUAUUUCAUUUAACAAACCCCUAAGCCAAAGACUUUCUUUUACUGCAUCACAAGCAGCAAUAUAUUCAGCUUCUGUAGAGGAAAGAGCAACUAAUUUUUGCAGUUGUGAUUUCCAACUAAUGCACCCAUCACACAAAGUGAAAACAUAUAAAGAUAUUGACCUUGUUUUAUCUAAAUCACCAGCAAAAUCAAAAUCAGUGUAGCCCUUUAACUUUACCCCUUCAUUGCUUAUUUUAAACAUUAAACCUAAAUCAGAGUUUCCUUUUAAGUAUCUUAGCAUCCACUUCAUGGCUAACCAGUGUGUUUCACCUGGAUUUGACAUAAACCUACUCAAGGUACUAAUGUCAUGAGCUAAGUCAGGUCUGGUACAGACCAUAAGGUACAUUAUUAAUCCUACAGCAUUUGCAUAAGGAAUCUUUUCCAUUCUUAUAAAUUCUUCAUCUGUUUUAGGUGAACUUUCACUUGACAGUUUAAAACGAUUAGCAAUGGGUAAGGUUACAGGUUCACACUCAAGCAUUGUAAACUUUUCAAGUAUUUUCUUUACAUAUAUGCCUUGUUUCAAUAUUAACAUGCAAUUAUUCCUAUCUCUUUCUAUUUCCAUUCCAAGAAUCCUUUUUGCUUGUCCUAGAUCUUUCAUUUCAAAUUCAGAUUUUAAUUUUGAUUUAAUGAAGUUAAUUUCAGAUCUAUCAUGGCAGGCAAGUAACAUGUCAUCAACAUAUAAUAACAGAUAAAUGGAUUCAAAUCCACCUGAACCUUUAUAGAUAAAACAGGAAUCAUAAUUAUUUUUGACAAAACCCAAAGUCUGCACAUAGGAGUUAAAUUUGAUGUACCAUUGCUUGGGAGUCUGUUUUAGUCCAUAGAGGGACUUCUUCAACAAACAAACCUUAUUGAUCUUAGACUUUAUUUCAAACUCCGGAGGUUGACUCAUGUAUAUGGUUUCAUCAAGAUCCCCAUUGAGGUAAUACCAAUUUUGAAAGGCAAUUUUUUCUGUUUUCCAAAUACACAAAUUUCACAAAAAUCCAAACCCUUAACAUUAUCCUUGCCAAAACAUCUAAGUUUAUUUAAGAUUAUUAGUCCCUUUUUUGAGAUGUGACCAAGUCUUUUGUGCCAAAUUAAAGACUUGUUGGAAUCAGAGUUUAAGGCUGUAGAACACUAGUCUCUCACAGAUUGAGCACAUACAGUAUAUAUGCCAUUUAUCUUUUGAGAAGAUAUGAUAGUUUUAUUUCCUUGCAUAAGUGUUAAAAAAACCUUUAUGAAUCAUAAUGCUGUAGUUAUCAUCGAGCUCACCCAAGGAAAUAAGACUUCUUUUUAACUUUGGGACAUAUCUGGUGUUCUCAACUUCUAGGGUACAAUUGUUAUUUAAUGAGAGUUUGACCUUUCCAAUCCCCUUAAUUUGACAACUCAUGUCAUUUUCCAUCUGAAUUUGUCCUCCAUUUAGAUCAACUAAUUCAAAAAAAAAUUCUCUUGUGGGACACAUGUGAAAGGUGCAGUCAGAGUCAAGGACACAUUCAUUUAGGUCUCUUCUGGUGGCUGUUACCAAAACAACCCCUUGAAUAUCAUAUUCAUUUCUGCAGGCUACAGCUGCAGAUCCCUCAGUAUUAGUAUUCUCUUUCAUAUCUGAGAUUUUCUUGAAGCAGUCUUCUAUUACAUGGCCAGUUUUACCACAGUAAUAACAUUUCCUGAUCUGGUUUUUAGUUUUCCAUUGAUUCUUAUUCUUUCCCUUAGAUCUGGAGAAUUGAGUUUUCCCUUUCUUAUUUAAAUUUUGAUUUAAGGGAUAUUUUUUCUUAUUUUGGUUCUGUUUCUCCUUUAUGAAUAACCCCUUACCAUACCUAGAGUCUUUAGACUCGGAUUUUAUUUCAAGUUCUCUAUUUUCUCAGGAUUGAGGUUAUUCUAUCAAUUAUUUCAAGUUCUCUAUUUCUCAGGACUGAGGUUAUUCUAUUAAUGGUAAUUUCUUGUCCCCCAUGUUUUAAUGCAUUUCUAAUGUCUCUAUACUUAUCACUUAGUGAAUUUAACAAUGCCAUAGCUUGUUGAUCAUCAGAAAUUUCUUCAUCACAGUUAGUCAAGUCCUGAAUCAGUUUUGUGAAUCUGUUAAGGUUAUCUUCCAGAUUUGAGGUAGGAUCAAAUCUAAAAUUAUAGAAUUGCCUUAGAAGGUAGUAUUUAUUAGACAUGGUUCUAAUUAGAUAUAAUGUUCCUAACUUAGUCCAAAGAGCCUGAGCAGAAGUAGUUUCUCCAACUUUCCUAAUUACACUAUCAGAUAAGUGCAAGAAACUUUACUUUUUCCAACUUUCCUAAUUACACUAUCAAUAAUUUAUGAAACUUCCCCCCAAGUCUCCAAUUCUUAUACUAGAAACUUUACUUUUUCCAACUCCGAAACAAUCCAGUGUGCACCAUAUUGUCUCAUAACAAAUGAAGCAAGUUAUGUAAUGAAACAAGCUAUCGAACCCAACUUACUCCUUACAGUUGUUAAACUCUUGACAUGUGUACGUAUGCACAUAUUCACAGAAGUAUGUCAAAAUAUGAUACUUCAUAACAUAUAUUGUUUCGUGUUAGAACUUAAAUAAAGGAGCAAAAUACAUUACAAUGUUGCCUCUUGCAUUUUAUACUUAACAUAGGAUAAUAUUUUUACCAAUCUAUAAGAACAUGACGUGCAUUGUUGAAUUCACCAUUUGAGAAAGAAAACAUGUCAAAUUGAUGUAUAAAGUACAAUGUCACUUGCAUGAUGUAAUAGAAUACGAUACCAUGUUACAUUAUGAAUUUUUCACCACUUCACGUUUCAAAUCAAAAUAUCAAAACAUGAGAAAAUGCUAUUAUCUUGUUCAGUUCAUAUUUGACACGAUGUAUCAAAAACAUGCAUAUUACUAUUGGUAACAUGAUUACAAAGAAAUUUAUAUUUCUCCAAUCAGACCAAUAUACAUCCGAGUUGCUGGAUCAAUCACCUUUGGCGCGCUCGCAACCUCAGCGUGGAGAGUUCGAUUCCUGGUGAGAACCUUUGAUCCAAUAAAGGGGCAAUUUAUUGGUGGAUUAAUCACGAUGGAGGAAAGCUCUCUUGAGGCCAGGAGUUUAGACCGGGUGGGAAUUUGUGAUCCAACAAGGGCACAAUCUGCGGUUUACCUCCGCUAGUCACUGAGGGGCCGUUGGCUAGGGGUCCAGGAUUUAGUCUGGCGAAUCUGGGACACCUGGGUAUCAAAAAAAAUAAUAAUAAAGCAUUAUAGACGAUUAUGUAAUACCUUGAGGCGCAUGAAAUGAAAAUUUCCAUAGAUGUUUCUUAUUACAGUCGGAGUAGAGAG
RNAcentral lists this long non-coding RNA (6516 nucleotides) under Olea europaea subsp. europaea. Lineage: Eukaryota; Viridiplantae; Streptophyta; Magnoliopsida; Lamiales; Oleaceae. The record is from RNAcentral.